UGGGGAAUAUUGCACAAUGGGCGCAAGCCUGAUGCAGCCAUGCCGCGUGUAUGAAGAAGGCCUUCGGGUUGUAAAGUACUUUCAGUCGGGAGGAAGGUGGUAAGGUUAAUAACCUUAUCAAUUGACGUUACCGACAGAAGAAGCACCGGCUAACUCCGUGCCAGCAGCCGCGGUAAUACGGAGGGUGCAAGCGUUAAUCGGAAUUACUGGGCGUAAAGCGCACGCAGGCGGUUUGUUAAGUCAGAUGUGAAAUCCCCGGGCUCAACCUGGGAACUGCAACUGAUACUGGCAAGCUUGAGUCUCGUAGAGGGGGGUAGAAUUCCAGGUGUAGCGGUGAAAUGCGUAGAGAUCUGGAGGAAUACCGGUGGCGAAGGCGGCCCCCUGGACGAAGACUGACGCUCAGGUGCGAAAGAGUGGGGAGCAAACAGG
This 429-nucleotide ribosomal RNA is filed under the name Chloroflexota bacterium. RNAcentral's name for it is "Chloroflexi bacterium partial 16S ribosomal RNA". It matches the Rfam family "Bacterial small subunit ribosomal RNA", at positions 355 to 776 of the family's 1533-position model. The record is from RNAcentral. Lineage: Bacteria; Bacillati; Chloroflexota.